Long non-coding RNA from Passer montanus (Eurasian tree sparrow), 438 nucleotides. RefSeq lists it as uncharacterized. The record is from RefSeq and is a predicted model, not a curated record. Lineage: Eukaryota; Metazoa; Chordata; Aves; Passeriformes; Passeridae. The transcript is spliced from 3 exons.
CUGACCUUUCUUGGUUUAUAGAACACAAUGAGAUCACAGUCUAUUGCUUCAGGGGAAAAAUAGCAAAAGAUUACUUUUAUGAUGGAGACUUAAUAGAUUUGACAUGGCCAGAGGGCAUACCAGUAAUGGAAGAUGUGACUCUGCAAUAGGAACAAGUUGCUGGAAGUCCAUGGAGAAGAUUUUGGAAAGAAACAUGAAUUCCUUAAUUCACACCCUAGAGAAAUCCCAAACCUCAAAGUUUGAAGACCUUAUUUGUUAAAAGCACAGAGAAACAACAAACCUCAGCAGGGAGGAAGGAACAAGUUGUGAAACUUUAACAAGAUCUCCAAGGAAGCUUAGACAAAAAGCUGAAGAAUAUGCUUUGCUGAGCUGCAUGACUCAUCUUGCAAUGUGUGGUGCCCAGAGCUGCGACACUGCUGGGUGGGAGGGCCACAGACG